AGUGAAUAGAUACCCGGGUAGUCCACGCCGUAAACGAUGGGCACUAGGUGCUGGGGGGAGCGACCCCGUCAGUGCCGUAGCUAAACGCGAUAAGUGCCCCGCCUGGGGAGUACGGCCGCAAGGCUGAAACUCAAAGGAAUUGACGGGGGCCCGCACAAGCGGUGGAGCAUGUGGUUUAAAUUCGAAGCAACGCGAAGAACCUUACCUAGGUUUGACAUGCUGGUGAAAGCCUCUGGAAACAGGGGCCCUUCUUCGGAACACCAGCACAGGUGCUGCAUGGCUGUCGUCAGCUCGUGUCGUGAGAUGUUGGGUUAAGUCCCGCAACGAGCGCAACCCUUGCCCCGUGUUACUAACAGGUAAAGCUGAGGACUCUCGGGGGACUGCCGGCGUCAAGCCGGAGGAAGGUGGGGACGACGUCAAGUCAUCAUGGCCCUUACGCCUAGGGCGACACACGUGCUACAAUGGCCACGACAGAGGGCAGCAAAGCGGCAACGUGGAGCGAAUCCCAGAAACGUGGUCUAAGUUCGGAUUGUGGGCUGCAACUCGCCC
RNAcentral lists this ribosomal RNA (549 nucleotides) under uncultured bacterium. RNAcentral describes it as "bacterial SSU rRNA". It matches the Rfam family "Bacterial small subunit ribosomal RNA", at positions 774 to 1317 of the family's 1533-position model. The record is from RNAcentral.